GCUCCCCGCCCCAAAGAGGCGGGCGGAACCCAGGGCGGGGCUGCGGCGUUUCCGGCGGGAAGCUUAAGGCGGGACGCACUGGAGUGUGUCGCCGGCAGACGCCCCCGGCGGGCCGCGUCCCGCCAUGAAGUUUCGGGCCAAGAUUGUGGACGGGGCCUGUCUGAACCACUUCACCCGAGUCAGUAACAUGAUAGCCAAGCUUGCCAAAACCUGCACGCUGCGCAUCAGCCCGGAUAAGUUGAAUUUCAUCCUCUCUGACAAGGUGGCCAAUGGAGGGGUGAGCAUGUGGUGUGAGCUGGAACAGGAGAACUUCUUCAGCGAAUUUCAAAUGGAAGGUGUCUCUGCACAAAACAACGAGAUUUAUUUAGAGCUAACGUCGGAAAAUUUAUCUCGAGCCUUGAAAACUGCCCAGAAUGCCAGAUCUUUGAAAAUCAAGCUGACUAAUAAACACUUUCCAUGCCUCACAGUUUCUAUAGAGCUGUUAUCCUUGUCAAGCAGUAAUCGCAUUGUGACACAUGACAUCCCCGUAAAGGUUAUUCCUAGAAAACUGUGGAAGGACUUACAGGAACCUACAGUCCCAGAGGCUGACGUUAGUAUCUAUUUACCAGCCUUGAAGACGAUGAAAAGUGUUGUGGAAAAGAUGAAAAACAUCAGCAAUCACCUUAUUAUCGAAGCAAACCUAAAUGGAGAAUUGAACUUGAAAAUAGAAACUGAACUAGUGUGUAUUACAACUCAUUUUAAAGAUCUUGGAAAUCCUCCGUUAGCUUCUGAAAACACUUCUCAAGAUGGAAACUCAGAACAAAUGGCUGAAGUGCAAAUAGAUAUUAGGAAGCUCUUACAGUUUCUUGCUGGACAACAAGUAAAUCCUACAAAGGCCACAUGCAAUAUCGUGAGUAACAAGAUCGUCCACUUUGACCUGCUCCACGAAGACGCUUCCCUGCAGUACUUCAUCCCCGCGCUGUCAUAGCACCCCCUCCCUGGACGGGGCCCGGGACCUGGGUCUCAGCCCGAAGCAGUGGGUGAUGUCUGCUAAGUCAUUGUCUCUGUCCUCACAGCCAUCCGCUGCUUCUCAGUGCAGGAGGGACGAACCGUCUCUUUGACUGUUAGCCUCCGUAACGAGACGACCAGGGGAAGCAUGGGGCCCAUCAGCCACUGCCGUGGGAGUGUGGACUCUGCGUGUGCACCUUCUUCAGAGUCCAGUCUGGUGUGGGUGACGUAUGAAAGCCUUCAGAAAGGUGUGUGCCCUUUGCUUUAAUACUCCUUUUAGGAAUUUACACACACAUUCACAUAUUCGAAGGUGUUUGAGGGUCUCUGAUGUGGCGCAGUGGGUUGAUGAUCCGGCUUGUCGCGGUGGCAUUCCAGUUCAGUUCUCGGCCUGGCACAGCGGCUUAAGGAUCUGGUGUUACCACAGCUGUGGCUGGAAUUCCGUUCCUGGCCCAGGAACUUCCACAUGACUCUGUAUGGCCCAAAAAGAAAAAAAAAGAGUCUUUUAUACAGUUCUACUAAAAAAACAUGAAAUAGGGGGGAUUGGUUAAACAAUCUGUAGUUUGAUACAGUGUUUCAUACUCUAAGAGUAAUGUUACAGAAAAAAAUGUACUGAUAAUGCAAAAUGUCUGUGACUUCCAGUUAAGUUACAAAAAGCAGAUCAGGCUUUCGUGUGUACCGUCUGAUCCCAGUUUGGAGAAUAACAAUGUACGUGUGUGCGUGAUAGAAAAAGAUUGGGAAAAUAGGUACCAGCAUUUAAACUUGGUUAUUUCUGGAUGUUUGAUUUCAAUUUUUGUAAACUUAGGUAUUUUCUAAAACUUUUAUACUUGGCUUUGUAACGAAAAUAAAUCAUUUUUAUGGGACUGAGUAAUACUUAUUAUUUGAAUGCAGUACAUCAUCAGCUGGCAAUUAUAGUUUCCUAAAUAUUGGACUUGAGACUUAAUUUUCACAGCACAUCCUCCGAAGCAGCUCGUGACAGGGCAUCACCAGUUUCUGGAGCCUGCGGUCUUACCAAACGGGAACGAAGCAUCAGUGUGACUUGGGGGUGUUUGGUGCCUCUGUUCCUAGUGAUGCAGGCAGACCUCCCUUCAGACUGGACGUGUUGGAAACAACCAGGAGACAGUGGUGGCUCAAAUUCAGCUCUGCAGGGGGAGCUUAGCGGGGCCAUCUGCCAGGGACCAUGGCGUUGUCCUGAAUCAGCCUUGCCCUGCAAAUGCAGGGUUCGACUUUUGUCACGUGGUCUGGAUUGAUGUAAAUGCAGAGCUUUCUAAGGACGACUUUUAUUCAUGUUUUAGGAUAUCAAUUCUAUAAAAUAAUACGUUUGGUGUGGCUUUAAA
Sus scrofa (pig) is the source of this 2321-nucleotide RNA transcript. It is a transcript of the gene named HUS1 checkpoint clamp component, with no coding region annotated. Lineage: Eukaryota; Metazoa; Chordata; Mammalia; Artiodactyla; Suidae. The record is from RefSeq and is marked provisional.